RNAcentral lists this transfer RNA (72 nucleotides) under Fukomys damarensis (Damara mole-rat). It matches the Rfam family "tRNA". From Rfam's summary of the family: Transfer RNA (tRNA) molecules are approximately 80 nucleotides in length. Lineage: Eukaryota; Metazoa; Chordata; Mammalia; Rodentia; Bathyergidae. The record is from Rfam by way of RNAcentral.
UGGGAUGUAGUUCAGUGAUAGAGCACUUACCUAGCAUGUGUGAGACCCUAGGUUCAAUCCCCAGCACCACAC